This 3998-nucleotide long non-coding RNA is filed under the name Megachile rotundata (alfalfa leafcutting bee). Its description in RNAcentral is "uncharacterized LOC105663382, transcript variant X18". Lineage: Eukaryota; Metazoa; Arthropoda; Insecta; Hymenoptera; Megachilidae. The record is from RNAcentral.
AUUUUGAGGGUGGUUGGAGGUGGAAACAAACGAACACGCAAAUUCAUGAUGCUUCUUUCACUUUUCACUGUUUAGGAAGUUUAAAUAAGGGAGGAAGAGAUAAAAACCCUUGAAAAGAAACACAAACUCGUGGUUAAUCUAACAUCGUGUUACUGAAGAAACAAAAUACUAAAACAUUCCGCGUGCGAGCAGCUCGCAUUACAUGAUAGCGGCAAAAGACACUAGCAUACUGAAUAAGAACGCCACGAUACAGCAUCAACGAACGUUGACGAGCGAUGCCGAAUCGACCCGACGAUCACCGACUGUCUUCGACUAUUUGUGUAAAUUAAAAAAAUUCUAACAACUUCAGUUUUGUGCUUUACGGAGAUUCCAAAUGGACCGAAUUUUGUCGAUAAGAUCGAGAUGAUCUUUUUAGAGGAAUACAAUUUACACAUGGCUGUUUAUCUAGAAAAUGAUAAUAUUAAAAAAUUAUACAAUUGCUUACGUAUUAUACUUAGUUAUACAAGGCUGGAUAUAUGUAAAUAAUUCAUACAACAACCGUAUGCAAACCACAUUUUCAUUUGCUAUACUAUUAAAGAAUAACGUAUCGAUUGAAAUAGAGGAAUAUUACAAAGCACGUAUGCAUGGAAAUAACGGAUUAAGGAAGCAUUUAUGUAGAUUCUCAAGAUUAGACACACUUUGUAUCUGAUGAUUAUACCGGAUUACUGUUCGUGACGUUACGAAUGAAUCGAUGUAAUAAAAACGUCAAAAUCGUUAGUAGCACAUUCAGUUGCAGCACGAAAGAAUCACGAACAGGCUAUUGUAACAAUGCCUCGAACAACUUCCUGUUUAAUUUUUUUUACGUUUGUUCUGAGAAUAACGUGGCUGCGAAAUAUCGACAAGUGUGCAACUGCACGUGUGCGCAGUAUAAUGGGUCAAAAUAUAAACUGAUGUUCGUUUUAUGCCGAAAUAAAUUUACCGGCUUUCUAAUGACAGGUUGUGAAUAUUUUAAAGCAUGGAAGGUUCUCUUUUGUUGUUAUGCACACUGGUUCGUUGGAGGAGACGGGAAAAUUACAAAAGGUACAUUACGAAACGUAAGGUUGUCACAGGAAUUAUUGCCAGGGUGAAUGGGGACGCAAAGUGGUUGGCCAUGAUUGAAAAAUCCUCCGGCAGUCAACGCGUGAAUUUUGUGUCUUUUUUCGCUCGUACGAUACAAUUUAUAGCUGCGCAAAUAAAUCGAACAAGUGGAAUAAUAUUUUUCGAUAUUGUUUGCUUUAAAAAAGUGAAUUUUGAGAACCAACAGAAUUAUACCGUCUCUAUAGUUUACAACUGAAAAUGCGCCUCAAACCAAAACGAUUUUCUUACAGCUCCUUUGAAGUUUGAUAAACAAACAGAUUUUAUGCAGAGAUGUUUAUGAACUUAUGGAGAUUUUAUGCAGGAUAAAGAAAAAUGUUUUCCAGGUUAUGUAAAAAAGGAAGAAUAACUGAAAUAUGAAAAAGGAAUUCGUGCAUGGUAUUCUAUGGAUCCAAACGUUAAUCAUGCAAUCUGAUCAACUGUCUUCUCUGCGCAGUUCUAAGAAAACAUGCAACUAAUAGGCCUCCUACGAAACACGCAAUUAUUACCAACGUUAAACAAGUGGAUACGAACUAUAGAUAUGAUACUUCUCCUUGUACAUGUACAGCAAACAAUUAACCAUCACGUGGACUAUUAUCGCCUCAACAGUUCUAAUUUGUUAUAGUUGUUGAUACAUAAAAUUUCUGUUAUACAAGUGCAUGGAAACGUCCAAGAAUCGAGUGACAAACAUUAUGGGAAAGUUCAAUGCUUUCAAUGAUUCACUUUAGGAUCUAAAGUUUCUAGAGAUAAUUAGUUGAAAACGUUGAUUGAACAAAUAGAAGCUAGAAGCGUGAAGAUUAAUCGCCGUAAAUUGUAUCGAGCCGUUAAGCCUAUUACCUCCGGGCAUUGUUGUCCUAGAAUCUCUAUUAGGUUUACUAUUUGUUCGCUACUUGCCAUUUCGUUUAACACUUUGACUGUUGGCGAUUUUAAUAAAGUAUUUAUUUAUGCUUACGUUAUUCAAAAGUUACAACUUCAAGCCUUAGGCAUACAGUAGAUUCUCGUUAUAUUAACACCAAAGAAAACUGUAUUUAGCAAAACUUCUUAUAAUUAUAAUAAAACGAAAAUCGACUGUAUCGUACGGUCAUGUAUAUAACAAAUUAAUAAUGGCUAAUAUUGCAAACACAAUCAACGUGUUAACAGUUGUGAAUUUUUAUGUCACCGUUAGCAUGCUUGUUUCGCAUCAUCGAGAUUGAUAGAAUUGAGAAUAUCGGAUGUUCUUAUUAUCAGAAUCUGCGCACUCGUAACCAGCUAUUCAGUGUAUCCUGUUAUUAUUCCAGAAUUAUUCUUGAUGAAACGUGCAUAUGCUUUUCUGCACAAUUACUGUGUUUCACAACUGCUUUACAAAAUGUUGCACGACAACAGGAAUUUAACGAAGAAGAGAGGAUGUGCAAGAACUUAUAAAAAGAAAUAUAAAAGGUGAUCUAUACGACACACACGCGAUUCUGUUUUAUAACACGAGAAGAGGGAAAAACUUCUCAUCAAUUGCGUUUCAAAGAGUACGAACGUUCGACGAUCAAAGAAUUUAUUUUACACAGAGGUUUUAUUAUAGUACGAAGAUUUCACAUCCGAUAACAUCUGAGAUCAAAAAGAAGCAGGAAACUCGAGUCAAUCGAACAAGCUCCAUUCAUGUUUUCUUACUACGCUCGGCGGCGGCCUUCCAUGUUUCCGGGGGGCAUAUCGACGGGUCACAUCAAGACGAAUUCACCAUCCCGAAAAGGAAAAGAGGAAAAUUUCGUUCCGCUUAAUUAUACAAAAACUUGGUGGUACGUCAACUUUCUUCCGUCGUUGAUAAAUCGGCGAUACAGUUUUCCUCGCAAAAAUUCACGGCUAACGAAACCGAAGCGUGUGGUCAAAAAUUCUUGCUUCUUGGCACCGACAAUGACAACAACACGAGAAAACUGGACGCGCGUGCGGCGCCGCGAGCCUAUCAACGUUCCUUCUCACAAAUGAUAUUUAUUGUCCUCGAUUUAGAUACGAUUCCCCUCUGUUCAUCAGCAGACGCGGGCACACCCUUCCGCAGAGAUAAACGCAGAAAUUUAUGAAGACGGUAGUAUAACAAGAGCUCAAUAUUACGCUUUAUUGUGCUUGACUGGCUACGGCGCAACGUGGAGUGGUGUCCCGUUCGAGAGGGGUCAGGAGAAAGGAGCUUAGGAACCAACCAUGCUUUCUUAUACCUUCCACAUUUCCUCCAGAUCAGUGUUUCAAAAUGGUGAUUUUCCCGAACCCCACACUUUCCUCAUUGGGAAGUUUUAUAUUGACGAGUGGCGUCAUGUAUUCGUGACCGUAAUGCUCAAUUCUGUAUUUCAUUGUUCUUUAUUUUAUUGAUAUUUAUUUUAGUAGUAUUACAGAUAAGCUCUUAAAUAUAAUCUUCUUUCAGAUGUUAAAAAAAAUUUACAGUUACAAGAUUCGGAUUCGGAAUGUAAAACCAUCAAAGUGUUAACAUGUUGACUGCCACGGUUAUAGGUAACAGAUGUUACAAGGUUAUUUUUUAAGUACAGUAGACUCUCGUUAUAUUGUCACUUUGAUAAGAACUUUCGUACACAGCGCGUUCUCCUACCAUGCACUUUGAGAUCCACGGACAGCGUCAUGGCAUCAAAAGUCAUUGGCAUUCAUUCCUGAUCGAUAAAUGUGAUAUAAAAUUAUCGGUAAUUAACAGUAGUAUAUCGGUAAUAUACCAGUGAUCGAUACUGAAUGUACUGCAAAAUCAAUAACGCAUCGAUAAUGUACCGAUAAUCGAUAGCAGUUAAUAAGACAGCAAGUUAUCCAUUAUAUUGCCAUACGUUAUAUUACACCUUUAAUCUCACAUACUGUCAUUGCCAAGAUUGUUACAGCACCACCUGUGACAAUAUAACGUGUACUGUAAAUACAUAUCUUUAAAUAAGUACAAUAAACAGGUAACUUGUAGU